UGGGGAAUAUUGCGCAAUGGGGGGAACCCUGACGCAGCCAUGCCGCGUGAAUGAAGAAGGCCUUCGGGUUGUAAAGUUCUUUCGGUAUUGAGGAAGGUUGAUGUGUUAAUAGUACAUCAAAUUGACGUUAAAUACAGAAGAAGCACCGGCUAACUCCGUGCCAGCAGCCGCGGUAAUACGGAGGGUGCGAGCGUUAAUCGGAAUAACUGGGCGUAAAGGGCACGCAGGCGGUUAUUUAAGUGAGGUGUGAAAGCCCCGGGCUUAACCUGGGAAUUGCAUUUCAGACUGGGUAACUAGAGUACUUUAGGGAGGGGUAGAAUUCCACGUGUAGCGGUGAAAUGCGUAGAGAUGUGGAGGAAUACCGAAGGCGAAGGCAGCCCCUUGGGAAUGUACUGACGCUCAUGUGCGAAAGCGUGGGGAGCAAACA
This 427-nucleotide ribosomal RNA is filed under the name uncultured bacterium. RNAcentral's name for it is "bacterial SSU rRNA". It matches the Rfam family "Bacterial small subunit ribosomal RNA", at positions 355 to 774 of the family's 1533-position model. The record is from RNAcentral.